UUUUUUUUUUUUUUUUUUUUUUUUGGCCAUGCCGGUGGCAUGUGGAAAUUCCUGGCCAGGAAUUGAAUCUGCACCACAACAGUAACUCAAGCCACAGCAGUGAUAAUGCUGGAUCCUCAACCAGUUGAGCCACCAGGGAACUUCUCUAUAUUUUUUGACUUACAUGUUUACUUUCCUUCUUUAAGCUGUUAAUGAGGUAAAUUACAUGAAUAGAUUUUCUAAGUUAAACUAUUCUUACAUUACUAAUACAAAUCUUGCUUUUGCUGUGAUUAUACAUGUGUGUAUAUAUAUAUAUAUAUAUGAUUGUGUAUAAUAUAUUUAUAUUUAUAUAAUAUAGCUUUUAAUAUUGUAUUUAUGACAUUUGUAUUUAUAUGCAUAAGUGAGAUUGACCUAUAAUUUCCCUCCAAAGUCCUGUUUAGUUUUGCCAUCAAGGAUAUAUUAGAAGCUCAAUGAGAAGCUAUUAUAUACAUACAUACUAAAAUGGCUAAUAUCAAAAAGAGAUAAUACUAAGUGUUGACAGAGUUGGAGCAACUGGAACUCUAAUGCAUUGCUGGUGGGAAUGGUACCAUGACUGCAGCAGUUCUUAUAAAGUGAAACAUGUCCUUGCCACACAACCCAGAAAUUCCACUCCUCGGUGAGACUACAAGAGAAAUGAAAACUAUGGGCACAAAAAGACUUAUAUUUGAAUAUUCAUAGAAGAUUUAUUCAUAAUAGCCCCAAACUAGAACCAAUUCGCUGUCCAUAACUGAUGAAUGGAUAAACAACCCAUGGUAUAUCCAUACAACAGGAUUCUACUCAGCAAUAAAAAGGAGUAAACUACUGAUACAUAUGAUAUGGAUACAUCUCAAAAUGCAUUAUGCUAAGCAAAAAAGUCCAGACAUAAAAAAAGGCGGAUUGUAUGAUUCACUUUACAUGAAAUGAAAUUUUAGAAAAGGCAAACCUACAGGAAUAGAAAGCAAAUUAGUGGUGAUGGCUCCUUGGUUAUUUCACUGACAAUCCAUUUGUUGUCUGUGCUAACUUGCCUCAAGACAAACCAUGUCCUUGAGUGGUUUGUGGUUUUUAUUGUGAGCUCAUCUUUGGCUGGACUUUUUUUGCUGUGGGAUUCCUAUGUGCUUUGGGCCCUGGACAAGCCCUGGAAAGCAGUUUUGAAUUUGAUUCAGCUGGGUAAUCUGAGGGGUUCUAUCAGUUCAGGGCCAAUUUUUACAUUAAAUUAAAUUAAUUUAUUUAUUUUUGUCUUUUUGUCUUUUCUGGGGCCGCUCCCCCAGCAUAUGGAGAUUCCCAGGCUAGGGGUCCAAUCGGAGCUGGUUGGAUUGUGGUUGGAUACACCACAGCCACAGCGAUGCAGGAUCUGAGCCAUGUCUGCGACCUACACCACAGCUCAUGGCAAUGCCGCAUCCUUAACCCACUGAGAGAGGCCAGGGAUUGAACUUGUAACCUCAUGGUUACUAGUCAGAUUUGUUUCCGCUGUGGGAAACAAAUGGGAACUCCACAAUGGGAACUCCACAUUUUUAGAUUAAAUUUUAGUUCAGGAUUUCUCCCCUUUGGGGGUGUUGUAAAUUUAGACUUUGUACCUAGGGGUAGCUCAGUUUUUGCCCUUAGGUUUCUUGAAGGAAACAUUUUCCUCCCUACCUGGAACAUCUGGACAGAGUUGAUGUCCUGGUCUGUCCUGGCAGUUUUCUUGGGCUGGUGGUUAGCAGCUGGUUGAGUGCUCCCAGGGGCAACUUCUGGCUUUGUCAGGGCCCUGGUAGGCAUCAAGAUUCUAGACUUGAGCUACCAUGACCAUAUCUGGUCCUCCCUGGUGUCAGCUGACAUUCUCAAGGCUCUGAGAUUGAGUCCCCUUUUUUGGGGGUGGGGAGUCAGCAUUGAACCCACUGCAUCUCAACUGAAUCAAUGAAUGAGUGUGACACAUUCACACUUCUUUUUUUUUUUUUUUUUGGUUUUUUUAGGGCUGCACCCACAGCUUAUGGAAGUUCCCAGGCAAGGGGUCAAACCUCAAACAAGAGCUGCGGCCACCAACCUACACACACAGAGCCACAGCAAUGCCAGUUCUGAACCGCAUCUGUGAUCUAUACCACAGCAACACCAAUCCUUAACCCACCGAUGAGUUAAGGAUCCGGUGUUGCUGUGAGCUGUGGUGUAGGUUACAGACGCAGCUCGGAUCCUUUGUUGCUGUGGCUCUGGGAUUGGCCAGCAGCUGUAGUUCUGAUUGGACCCCUAGCCUGGGAACCUACAUAUGCAGCGGGUGUGGCUCUAAAAAGCAAAAAAAUAAAAAAUAAAAAAUAACAAGAGAUGACCUAUAUAUGAAGACAAAAUAUAGUUUAAAGCAGAGCAGCUUCCUGGCAAAGGCAGGCUGACAGUGAGCCCCCCCCCCUCCCUGAGACGGCCUCCCUCCUUCUUCCUGGGGCAAAAUCCAGCCUGCCCCAGGCUUCUGCAAUGUUCUAUUUUUGUUUUCAUUAUUUAACUGUGUCCCAUAUACACGGCUAAGUGGAGUGCUCAGUUCCACAGCUUAAUGGACAGCUGACCUCUGUCUGAGAACGCCCAAGCCGUGUGGAGCUCCACAGGCUGUCAACAGGGUGCUGGGCUCCUUCCCGAGGUCAAUUUCAGUCCAAAUUGACAUGACAUCGGCAUGGCCUUGUGUCUUCUGGGGUUCAGUGUCUUCAGGGAGACCAGUGAUGGGUCUGGGCUGUCCAGAGGAGACCCAGGAGGGGGUGAAGCAAGCGGCAGGCACACACCAGGAAGGGAGUGCUGGGGACAGAACGCGUAGCCCUGUGGGCGGUGUCCCCUUGCAGCUUGCUCUCAGCAGCUGAGUGGCUUGUGGGUUUGGAGGCGGGCUGACCGUCAACUAUUAUUGCUCUGUCCCUGGCUUGCUUAUGAUUGAUUCACUGAACUCGGCUCCUGGCUUGACUGGCUGGGAGCUGUACUGACACCCACCUUUUGGAGAACUAAGGGGUUUUAAUUCUUUGUUCUCAUCUCCUUUCUUAAUUAAAUAAUUGCUAGACCUUCCCAGUGAUCUCAACUGUAUCUUCUGACCAUCCAGCCCCCACUGGUUACACACUCAGGAGGCCAGAAAACAAUGGGGUGAGCCAUCAGGCAAUAGGGAGAAGCCACAUGGUACAGGAGUGUUUGUUGAUUGACUGACCAACUGCAUUGAGCUUGACCUUCAGCAUUAAAGGUCUUUUACCAAAUGCUUUCAUACGGGUUUGUGACCUCAUUGGCUCCCUCCAUCCAAGCCUGGGCAUGAUCCAUUCUGCAAGUGAGAAAACAGGCUGAGAGAGGUGUCCUGCUCAGGGAGGCUGGGGCACGGCAUGGCCUUGUGUCUUCUGGGGUUCAGACCUCUGUCUGUGUUCACUCCAUUCUCACCAUGAAGAGGCAGGGUGCUUUCUCUAGGCAGACCCCAGAACAGAGCCCUGGACAUCCCAGGCCAGGGGACUCAGGGUCAGGGGGUCCCUGAGCUGAUCCAGGCUGGGUCGGCUCCUCCUUGGGGUGGGGACAGUCAAGGCAGGAGGCCUGACUGCCUCCUGGCUCCUCCCAAGUGCAUGGUGGGCCCCUCCCUUGGCUGACUUCAUCCCCCUCCGCAGCCCUGCCCGUGCCCAGCGCUGUGUCCCCUGGGUCCCUCAGAUGACAAGUGUUCCUCAUCCUUCCCACAUCCAUCAGCGGGGAGACAGACGUUCCAAUCCGGAGGGAGGAGAGAGGGAGCGGAGGAAAUCAAUAAUGAAGAAUGAUGUCUCUCUACUGUGCCUCCCGUGCUUUAUUUCCCUCUGCAGAGGCAGGACCGGGAAAAAAAAAUAAAUAAAACGUUGGCUAUGGUUUUGAUAUGAAUUGAUCUUGACAUUGGAUGAACCCAGUGGUGCCCCCGUAAUGGCCAGCCGUCGCCUGCUGGCACUUGGGUUGACAAUGGUUCUCAAUCCAUGCUCCCGGGUCGCCCAUUCAUAUUCCCCGGGUGUCCUGGCUCCUCUCUGGCCACAGCACUGGGCCCGCUCAGUGGGGGCUGAAUGCAGGCUACCAGCUGGGUGGCUGGCGAGGGGGAGGAUCAGAAAAAGGGAAGCAGGGUCCCUAUUGCAGCUCUGUGGCCAUCUUUCCUGCAGACAGAAAAAUGCCGACCUGCCUCAGGCUUAAAUGUCUUCAAAGCUGAGCUGAAAUCCAAGUGGCGCAAACAGCAUUAUCAGCCAGUAGCACUUUAGUCUGAAUGUGCAGAGCCUUGUCCUCCGUGGGGACAGUCAUAGGGGCUAAGGAGAGCAUGAGGUAAUUCAUGCCUCAGGUCCAGCCCAUAUCUGGCACUGCCAAGAGCUGCUCGUAAAGCCAAGCUCUGGCCUUGACCCUGCUGCCCCCAGCUUGUAGGGCAUCAACUGUUUUGCCAACUGUGUGCUCUCUACUUGGGCAUUUUCAUUAACCCCUCAGCCCCUCCAUCUUUUCAUCUGGGGGUCUUAGAUAGGGCUUCUUGGUACAGGUGCUAAGAUGAUGAAAUGCAGGAGGGUAUAUGGGGCCUGGUACAGUCCCUGGCACAGGGCAGCUGCCCCCUCUCAAACUUUUGGAAGUUUUCCAUGGGAGUGGGAUAGGGGAGGGUACAGGGGUACUUGGAGGUCUGGAGCAAUGUCUGGUAGGAAGGUUCCAGAGAGGCAGCUGUGGGUGCAGAAAGCCAAAGGGGGAACUUUGUGCCUACGACAGCGCUCAAAACUGGGGCUCAGAGGUGGGAUGCCAGGCCCAGCCCAUCCCUCAGAGAACCGAGUCCAGGGUUACCUGGGGCCCUUCUCUGUGCAUCCUCGGGGGCAGUCAAUGCCCCCAGAGCAAAAGAGGCAAGAGAGGUGGAAGGACACAGUCACUGCAAGCUCACGGCCUGGGCUCUGGCCCAAGACAUUACAAAAGCCAAGCAUUCCUCACUCACACUGGAUUUGGGUUCAAAGCCAGCUCCAUCAGUACCAGCUGUGUGACCUUGGGCAGGUCGCUUCACCUCUCUGUACCUUAGUUUCUGCAUCUAUAAAAGGAGGAUCACGUGGAGACCUCUUCAUGGCGCCGUGUGAGGAUUCAGGUGUAGUCACUCCCUGAGCCC
Molecule: transfer RNA, 5047 nt
Filed under: Sus scrofa (pig)
Lineage: Eukaryota; Metazoa; Chordata; Mammalia; Artiodactyla; Suidae
Description: lncRNA (ENSSSCG00065027142.1)
Source: RNAcentral